CGGGAGAAGCUGCAGUCGGCUGCUGAGGUGAUCGUCAGCUCCACCAUCAGCAUCGUGAGAAGCAGCAGCAACAUGGACUUCAGAAGUGCCUGUUUGAAACACAUGAAGGUUCAUGACACUCAUGAGUUAUCAGCCUCCCUCAGAGAGUCCCUGUGGAGGAUGUCGUCUUGGAAACGGCUCUCUAAAGUCGGGUGCUACUCUGCUCAGGUCGAAGAUCAAGCUGCGAGUAAUGAGGCCGUCACAGCUGAAAUCUGACCGUUUUUUUAUUAUUCUGGCCAGAAAUUUAUUUUUUUAUUUUUUUUGCUAAAAAGACAUGUUUGUACAUUGAAUAUUUAGUGUUUCUAGUACUCUAUUAAAGGUAUAUAUUUUACACUACAGUACACGUGAAUGUGCCUUGGUUUACUGCUUUACAGUAUGUUGAAAUUUAAGAUAGAGAUCUAACUAAUCGCAAGAAAGUUUGGUUUAGACUUUUCUGUGA
Molecule: long non-coding RNA, 478 nt
Organism: Poeciliopsis prolifica (blackstripe livebearer)
Lineage: Eukaryota; Metazoa; Chordata; Actinopteri; Cyprinodontiformes; Poeciliidae
Exons: 3
Source: RefSeq, a predicted model, not a curated record